RNAcentral lists this unclassified non-coding RNA (401 nucleotides) under soil metagenome. RNAcentral's name for it is "partial contains 5.8S ribosomal RNA, internal transcribed spacer 2, and large subunit ribosomal RNA". The stretch from base 1 to 123 matches the Rfam family "5.8S ribosomal RNA", at positions 35 to 154 of the family's 154-position model. The record is from RNAcentral.
GAUGAAGAACGGCAGCGAAAUGCGAUACUUGGUGUGAAUUGCAGAAUCCCGUGAACCAUCGAGUCUUUGAACGCAAGUUGCGCCUCAAGCCAUUAGGUUGAGGGCACGUCUGCCUGGGCGUCACAUAUCGUUGCCUGAUGCCAGUUUCCUCGUGAUGGGUGACUGUGCAGGGCGAAUGAUGGCUUCCCGUGAGCAUUGUUGCCUCAUGGUUGGUUGAAAAUUGAGUCCUUGGUAGGGAGCGCCGUGAUAGAUGGUGGUUGAGUGACGAACGAGACCCAAUCAUGUGAGACCCCUACCGAAUUUGGCCUUCAUGACCCACAUGCGUCUUUGGAACGCUCAUGACGAGACCUCAGGUCAGGCGGGGCUACCCGCUGAGUUUAAGCAUAUCAAUAAGCGGAGGA